Molecule: ribosomal RNA, 379 nt
Filed under: Wolbachia endosymbiont of Anopheles dthali
Lineage: Bacteria; Pseudomonadati; Pseudomonadota; Alphaproteobacteria; Rickettsiales; Anaplasmataceae
Description: bacterial SSU rRNA
Rfam family: Bacterial small subunit ribosomal RNA
Source: RNAcentral
UACCUAUUCGAAGGGAUAGGGUCGGUUCGGCCGGAUUUUACACAAGUGUUGCAUGGCUGUCGUCAGCUCGUGUCGUGAGAUGUUGGGUUAAGUCCCGCAACGAGCGCAACCCUCAUCCUUAGUUGCCAUCAGGUAAUGCUGAGUACUUUAAGGAAACUGCCAGUGAUAAGCUGGAGGAAGGUGGGGAUGAUGUCAAGUCAUCAUGGCCUUUAUGGAGUGGGCUACACACGUGCUACAAUGGUGUCUACAAUGGGCUGCAAGGUGCGCAAGCCUAAGCUAAUCCCUAAAAGACAUCUCAGUUCGGAUUGUACUCUGCAACUCGAGUACAUGAAGUUGGAAUCGCUAGUAAUCGUGGAUCAGCAUGCCACGGUGAAUACGU